AAUUUGGGACAAUGGGGGAAACCCUGAUCCAGCCAUCCCGCGUGUAUGAUGAAGGCCNNNGGGUUNUAACGUACUUUUGGCAGNGACNAAAAGGUAUCUCCUAAUACGAGAUACUGCUGACGGUAUCUGCAGAAUAAGCACCGGCUAACUACGUGCCAGCAGCCGCGGUAAUACGCAGGGUGCAAGCGUUAAUCGGAAUUACUGGGAGUAAAGCAUGUGUAGGCGCAUCGGAAAGAAAGAUGUGAAAUCACAGGGCUCCACCUUGGAACUGCAUUUUUAACUGCCGAGCUAGAGUAUGACAGAGGGGGGUAGAAUUCCACGUGUAGCAGUGAAAUGCGUAGAUAUGUGGAGGAAUACCGAUGGCGAAGGCAGCCCCCCGGGAUAAUACUGACGCUCAGACACGAAAGCGUGGGGAGCAAACA
RNAcentral lists this ribosomal RNA (422 nucleotides) under uncultured bacterium. RNAcentral describes it as "partial 16S ribosomal RNA". It matches the Rfam family "Bacterial small subunit ribosomal RNA", at positions 360 to 774 of the family's 1533-position model. The record is from RNAcentral.